Molecule: long non-coding RNA, 222 nt
Filed under: Mytilus galloprovincialis (Mediterranean mussel)
Lineage: Eukaryota; Metazoa; Mollusca; Bivalvia; Mytilida; Mytilidae
Source: RNAcentral
UCCCCUGUAAAUUAAGAAAGUAUCACCAGUCCAGUAGUCAGUAAUUUUAUUUUGACAUGAAUUUUUAUUGAUAUGGUAAAAUUAUAGAUUAACAGCUGUUUUGCCAAACUUUGCAUUGUUCAAAGUACUAAGGAUUCUCUACCAUGGAGCACAAGAUAACUUAUAAGCAGUAUUUGGCAAAACCUUUGUAAUUUGUGUCCUAAAUGCCCUUCAACUUCCUCC